CCCUUAGAUGUCCUGGGCCGCACGCGCGCUACACUGAUGCAUGCAACGAGUCGUUUCAAGCCUGGGCCGAGAGGCCCGGGUAAUCUGUUGAACGUGCAUCGUGAUAGGGAUAGAUCAUUGCAAUUAUUGAUCUUGAACGAGGAAUUCCUAGUAAACGCGAGUCAUCAGCUCGUAUUGAUUACGUCCCUGCCCUUUGUACACACCGCCCGUCGCACCUACCGAUUGAAUGGUCCGGUGAAAUCUUUGGACCGUGACAUAGUUUUGCUUUCGGGCAAAACGUUGUCGUGGGAAGUUGAUUAAACCUUACCAUUUAGAGGAAGGUGAAGUCGUAACA
This 334-nucleotide ribosomal RNA is filed under the name uncultured eukaryote. RNAcentral describes it as "partial 18S ribosomal RNA". It matches the Rfam family "Eukaryotic small subunit ribosomal RNA", at positions 1470 to 1796 of the family's 1831-position model. The record is from RNAcentral.